GACGAACGCUGGCGGCGUGCCUAAUACAUGCAAGUCGAGCGAACAGGCGAGGAGCUUGCUCCUCGGACGUUAGCGGCAGACGGGUGAGUAACACGUGGAUAACCUACCUAUAAGACUGGGAUAACUUCGGGAAACCGGAGCUAAUACCGGAUAAUAUAUUGAACCGCAUGGUUGAAUGGUGAAAGACGGCUGUGCUGGCACUUAUAGAUGGAUCCACGCCGCAUUAGCUAGUUGGUAAGGUAACGGCCUACGAAGGCAACUAGGCGUAGACGACCUGAAAGAGUGAUAGGCCACACUGGAGGGUGGACGCGGACCAGACUACUACGAGAGGGAGCAGUCGGGAAUGUUCCGCAAUGGUCGGGAGCAUGACGAAGCAACGCCGCGUGAGAAAUGAAAGUGUUCGGAUCGUAAAACUCUGUUAUUGGGGAUAAACAAAUUUGGAAGUAGCUAUGCACGUCUUGACGGUACCUAGUCAGAAAGCCACGGCUAACUACGUG
Molecule: ribosomal RNA, 497 nt
Filed under: uncultured bacterium
Lineage: Bacteria
Description: partial 16S ribosomal RNA
Rfam family: Bacterial small subunit ribosomal RNA
Source: RNAcentral